GUUAAGGAGAUGCGAGCAAAAAGUGUGAGAGAACGGUAUUUUGCGACUACAUGAAUAAUGACAUGCUUGUAAAACACACAUUUUCAAAAUUAGAACAAUUGUUUGAUUAAUAUUGUUAUAUAUUUUUAUAUUUAUUUUGUGGCAAUGCAUUGGCAUUCAGUCCUAAUAAUUUUCUCAUCCACUUUGUCGAGUCAUUGUUCUUCAUUCUCUUUUAUUUUUCAUUUUCAAGUCUAUGUUGUUGUCCUUGUAGUAUCUGUAUCUAUCUUUUCCAUCAUGUUGUUUUGAUAACACACAUUUGUUGAUGGAGUUUGACACAAGAUGCUAGAGAUUGAGGACGUGUGUUUUUGUGUUUAAUUCUACAUGCAAAAUGAAGGGACACACUCUGUGUAUGUCUUUUUUUUUAAACAGAUCAUUUAGCACACCCUGUUCCACAUACAACUUAUGUUUCACUUAUUCUUUGUAUUUUUCAAGGGUGGGCUGGAGAAGGUUUUCCCUGGUUCUGAUUUCAAAUAGGUUAGAUGGGCUUAUCAGAUUUCAUUUGUGUGGCAGGAGGAACCAUACUUAAUGAGUGUUUGAUGCUCUAGAUGGGAUGUGUGGGACUUCAUGAGUGUUUGAUGCUCUAGAUGGGAUGCGGGGGAGGUUGCUUCAAAAUUUAUGUCGAUGUGUUUUUAGUCAAGCCAAUGUGUAGUUCAUGAUAUGUGAUGUGCAAGAAUAUCGUGUGUGUUGGGUUUUUCAUAUGUACUUUCCACUUAUGGCAUGAAUAACAUUAUGAAUGACUAUGUGUUGUAGACAGGAGUCUGGCUUUUCGUAAUAUGCCUUUUCUCUUAC
RNAcentral lists this long non-coding RNA (828 nucleotides) under Hordeum vulgare. RNAcentral describes it as "long non-coding RNA (HVUL_LNC003165)". The record is from RNAcentral. Lineage: Eukaryota; Viridiplantae; Streptophyta; Magnoliopsida; Poales; Poaceae.